AGAGUUUGAUCCUGGCUCAGAAUGAACGCUGGCGGCGUGCCUAACACAUGCAAGUCGGAUGUGCCGCAAGGUGCAUGGCAGACGGGUGAGUAACGCGUAGGGAAUCUACCUUUUUGUGGGGAAUAACGCUCCGAAAGGAGUGGUAAUACCGCAUGAGACCGUGGCCUGGGAUGGUUACGGUGAAACCUGGGGACCGCAAGGCCUGGGGCAAAAAGAGGAUCCUGCGUCUGAUUAGCUAGUUGGCGGGGUAAUGGCCCACCAAGGCGACGAUCAGUAGCCGGCCUGAGAGGGUGAUCGGCCACACUGGAACUGAGACACGGUCCAGACUCCUACGGGAGGCAGCAGUGGGGAAUUUUGCGCAAUGGACGAAAGUCUGACGCAGCAACGCCGCGUGGGUGAUGAAGGUCUUCGGACUGUAAAACCCUGUCGUCAGGGACGAAGGUGGCAGUGUUAAUAGCGCUGUUACUUGACGGUACCUGGAGAGGAAGCCCCGGCUAACUCUGUG
Molecule: ribosomal RNA, 505 nt
Filed under: uncultured bacterium
Lineage: Bacteria
Description: bacterial SSU rRNA
Rfam family: Bacterial small subunit ribosomal RNA
Source: RNAcentral